This 255-nucleotide ribosomal RNA is filed under the name uncultured bacterium. Its description in RNAcentral is "partial 16S ribosomal RNA". It matches the Rfam family "Bacterial small subunit ribosomal RNA", at positions 125 to 382 of the family's 1533-position model. The record is from RNAcentral.
UCUGCCUGGUAGUGGGGGAUAACGUUCGUAAACGGACGCUAAUACCGCAUACGUCCUACGGGAGAAAGCAGGGGACCUUCGGGCCUUGCGCUAUCAGAUGAGCCUAGGUGGGAUUAGCUAGGUGGUGAGGGAAUGGCUCACCAAGGCGACGAGCCGUAACUGGUCUGAGAGGAUGAUCAGUCACACUGGAAGUGAGACACGGUCCACACUCCGACGGGAGGCAGCAGUGGGGAGUAUUGGACAAUGGGCGAAAGC